Molecule: ribosomal RNA, 253 nt
Filed under: uncultured bacterium
Lineage: Bacteria
Description: partial 16S ribosomal RNA
Rfam family: Bacterial small subunit ribosomal RNA
Source: RNAcentral
UACGGGGGGGGCAAGCGUUGUUCGGAAUUACUGGGCGUAAAGGGCUCGUAGGUGGCCAACUAAGUCAGACGUGAAAUCCCCAGGCUCAACCUGGGAACUGCGUCUGAUACUGGAUGGCUUGAAUCCGGGAGAGGGAUGCAGAAUUCCAGGUGUAGCGGUGAAAUGCGUAGAUAUCUGGAGGAAUACCGGUGGCGAAGGCGGCAUCCUGGACCGGCAUUGACGCUGAGGAGCGAAAGCCAGGGGAGCAAACGGG